AAAGGAAAAAGGAGAGGAGAAAGGGGAGAAGUGAAAGGGAGGGUUUGUGCGCGUGGGUCCUCGCCGAGCCAUUCCGACUACGUAACGCAACGACUAGAUUUUGGAACCGUCGGCUCGAGUAACACAUAUGGGUUAGUUUUUGGAUUACCAGGUUCUUUUGCUGGCCGCAAGUAGGGCGUGAGCGGGCGUUAGUCGGAGGAUUUCUUUUUUAUUGUGGGAUUUUGGGU
Molecule: long non-coding RNA, 227 nt
Organism: Syzygium oleosum
Lineage: Eukaryota; Viridiplantae; Streptophyta; Magnoliopsida; Myrtales; Myrtaceae
Exons: 3
Source: RefSeq, a predicted model, not a curated record